AACGAAGAUAACCUAAAGAAUAUAGGCGCAGGUCUAACCAUGGUCGCUAUUAUCAAUCAGCAACAGUAAGGUGCGAAGAAAACUUAGGGGCAUAUACACUUAGGGCCCAUUUGUGAUUUCUAAACGUUUACGGAUUCAGAAUUAUUUUAAUCUUAUUUUGUAUUCCAUAUUCCCAGACCAUUCUGCUACUGCUUAUCAAUUUUCCUAAAGAAUAUACCGUUAGGAAGAUCAAAAAAAAAAUCAACAGGAAUUUAUAUUAAUUUAAUGGGGAAAAAACAUAAAUACCCUAAUUACAAGCACAGAAAAUUUAUUAUAAGCUAGUAAUAAGUUUGAUCUGCAAAUAAAAGCACAAAAAAUUAAUUAUAUAUUCCUGUUCCAUCAUCAGGAUGCAAGACAAUAGGUCAUUUACAUCUCUGUAAUUUAUCAAAGUAUUCAGUGUAUUAUUAAAGAAAUAUAACAAAAUGGCUCUUCCAAUUACCAUGUCUUUGGUCAACUGCCAAGCUAUAUUAAAUAAAGUUUAGUAUCCAGGAUCAAUGGUGACAUCUCCAGGGUCAAGGACAUAUAGAAGAAUAUCUCCUCCACUCGUCCCAUCUUCUUGCUGAACAAUUGUUCCAUCUGAGAAAAUGAACGUAUUACCUGUAACAUAACAACUGUUUGUGAAAUAAAAUACUAAGACAAAUAACACAAUCAUCAUUUGUGGGUUGGGACUCCUUGGACGAGGGAUCGGCCCAUCGCAAGGCCUCUACCUGUACUCAGGACAGCACAACACAGAAAAACAUCCAUGGCUUGAGUGGGAUUCGAACCCACGGUCCAAGCGGCACAAGGCCCACACCUCGGACCGCACGGCCACUGCGGACCCCUUGAGAAUCAUACCAUUAGGUUGACACUGGAACUGGGAUUUAUCUGCUGUGAAGUCUGUGCAGCACUGCCAUUACUUGAUGACUGAGAAAGAGGGCCUGUUAAACUGGCAUUCACCAACGUGUUGGCUGGAGAGUCAUUGCCACCUGCUUCUAGUUUAUCC
Non-coding RNA from Zootermopsis nevadensis, 1021 nucleotides. Lineage: Eukaryota; Metazoa; Arthropoda; Insecta; Blattodea; Termopsidae. The record is from RefSeq and is a predicted model, not a curated record.